RNAcentral lists this long non-coding RNA (1342 nucleotides) under Homo sapiens (human). RNAcentral's name for it is "long intergenic non-protein coding RNA 293". The record is from RNAcentral. Lineage: Eukaryota; Metazoa; Chordata; Mammalia; Primates; Hominidae.
AUAUAUCUAGGCAAAUUGCCUAGAAGUGAAUCCCCUCUCCUGCUUAAGUCCUUCCCACAGAGAGCGGUUUGAUAUGUCACUGAAACCAGCAUCCAGGUGGUAUUGCUCCAUAUGCCUGAGACCCUAACAAAAGCCUAAUUACAACUCAUAUGCCUGGAGCCAGGACAUGUGCAGGAUGCCAUGAUGGUCCAAGUUAUAUUGGGAUUCAGCCAAUAGAAGAUAUUUUGCCUGUCAUCCCUAAGCUUAGGACAAUAGACUCUGCCAAGAGAGGGGAUUAUUACAUAUUGCAGAGCCCAGCACCUAGGUGGAGUGACUCUCAUCUUUUUCUUCUACCCCGUAUAUAGCCAGCUUGGUGACCUACUAUUUGAGUCUAUACCCAGGCCCAGACCACAGAUGAAAUUGUGCAAUAUGUGGAACAAACACCUAAACAAUAUAUAACACCUUCCUUGGCUCUGUCUACAAAGGGCACUUUUAUAUAUCACUGGGACCAUCAACCAGGGUCCUGCGUACUAGGUGGAUUGUGACAUCUCACUGGACCCGCAACCAUGUAGGUCAUGUGACUUUCAUGCCUUCUCACUGGCCACAGGUGAUGUUGUGCCAUAUAACUGAGACCGUAUCAAAAGCCUAAUAACAAGACGUAUGUCUGGAGCCCCGAUAUGCACAGGAUGGUGAUAUAACCCUCUUCUCUGGAAUGGGCCCCACACAAAGGAAGGAUAGUGACAUAUUGCAAGCCCAGGCACACAGGCCCAGAGCACAGUUGAAAUUGUGACAUAUGUACACCAAGCAACCAAGCAAUGUAUAACACCUCAUUUGGCAAUGGAAUCGAGGGCACUUUUACAUAUCACUGAGACCAGCGCCCAGCUGAUGUGAAAUAUUGGCCUGAACCCUGCCUACAAAAGCAUUGUGGCUUUUAUCUAGCUCCAUUACAUAAGUGAUGUGACUUCCUUCUACUGCCUUGGCCCUGCACUUAUGGUGAAUCGUGACACAAAAUUGGGUAGAGCAACCAGCCUGGGCCCUGACCAGCACAGAGAUUGAGGCAUAUUGCUGAACCCAGGACCAAGAUGAAGUCACUCUCCUGCCUUGAUCCUGCACACAGGGACCCUUGUGACAUAUAUACAGGCCAAUUGCCUAGGUGAUGUUGUGCAAUAUACCUGAGACCAGAUCAAUGGCCUAAUAAUGACUCUUUUACCUAGAGCCAGGACAUGUGCAGGAUGGUAACUCUCAUCCCUGAACCUUUCCACAGGUGUUAUUGUCACAUAUACCUUUUCCAGCUCCAAAGUGAUUUAAUAAUCCAGCCUAGUUAUAGCCCACAGAUAAUAUUUGGACAUAUACCUGAGUCAAG